UACGAAGGGGGCUAGCGUUGCUCGGAAUGACUGGGCGUAAAGGGCGCGUAGGCGGUUUGGUCAGUUAGACGUGAAAUUCCUGGGCUUAACCUGGGGGCUGCGUUUAAGACGGCCAGGCUUGAGUGUGAAAGAGGGUCGUGGAAUUCCCAGUGUAGAGGUGAAAUUCGUAGAUAUUGGGAAGAACACCGGUGGCGAAGGCGGCGACCUGGUUCAUUACUGACGCUGAGGCGCGAAAGCGUGGGGAGCAAACAGG
RNAcentral lists this ribosomal RNA (253 nucleotides) under uncultured bacterium. RNAcentral describes it as "partial 16S ribosomal RNA". It matches the Rfam family "Bacterial small subunit ribosomal RNA", at positions 524 to 776 of the family's 1533-position model. The record is from RNAcentral.